RNAcentral lists this unclassified non-coding RNA (379 nucleotides) under soil metagenome. Its description in RNAcentral is "partial contains 5.8S ribosomal RNA, internal transcribed spacer 2, and large subunit ribosomal RNA". The stretch from base 1 to 120 matches the Rfam family "5.8S ribosomal RNA", at positions 35 to 154 of the family's 154-position model. The record is from RNAcentral.
GAUGAAGAACGCAGCGAAAUGCGAUAAGUAAUGUGAAUUGCAGAAUUCAGUGAAUCAUCGAAUCUUUGAACGCACCUUGCACCCUUUGGCAUUCCGAAGGGUAUGCUCGUUUGAGUGUCAUUGUACUCUCACACUUCCAAUCUUUGGAUUGGGAGCAGUGGACUUGGGUGUUGCUGCUUACUGUGGCUCACCUCAAAUUGAUUCGUGCACCUCUUGGUUGGACAUAGUACGGCGUGAUAAGUGUCUUCGCCGGCACCUCAGUAGAGGGUGGCUGAUCAGGAGCUCUGUGCUUCAAACCGUCCUCGGACAACAACUGACAACUUGACCUCAAAUCGAGUAGGACUACCCGCUGAACUUAAGCAUAUCAAUAAGCGGAGGA